RNAcentral lists this transfer RNA (76 nucleotides) under Actinoplanes couchii. RNAcentral describes it as "tRNA-Glu". It matches the Rfam family "tRNA". From Rfam's summary of the family: Transfer RNA (tRNA) molecules are approximately 80 nucleotides in length. Their secondary structure includes four short double-helical elements and three loops (D, anti-codon, and T loops). Lineage: Bacteria; Bacillati; Actinomycetota; Actinomycetes; Micromonosporales; Micromonosporaceae. The record is from RNAcentral.
GGCGCAGUGGGCGAAAAGGUAGAGCCGCCGGUCUUUCAAACCGGACACUUGCGGGUUCGAACCCCGCCUGCGCUAC